Molecule: transfer RNA, 71 nt
Filed under: Schistosoma mansoni
Lineage: Eukaryota; Metazoa; Platyhelminthes; Trematoda; Strigeidida; Schistosomatidae
Source: RNAcentral
UCAGCUUAGCAAAGUGGAUAUUGCGAUGGCGUUUGAAGCAAACGGUAGUGAGUUCAAGUCCCAGAGUGAAC